UGGGGAAUAUUGCACAAUGGGCGAAAGCCUGAUGCAGCCAUACCGCGUGGGUGAAGAAGGCCUUAGGGUUGUAAAGCCCUUUCAGCAGGGAAGAAAGGUACAGGGUUAAUAACCCCGUAAUUUGACGGUACCUGAAUAAGAAGCACCGGCUAACUCCGUGCCAGCAGCCGCGGUAAUACGGAGGGUGCAAGCGUUAAUCGGAAUCACUGGGCGUAAAGCGCGCGUAGGCGGUCUGGUCAGUCAGAUGUGAAAGCCCCGGGCUCAACCUGGGAACUGCAUUUGAUACUGCUGGACUAGAGUGUGGUAGAGGGAAGUGGAAUUCCGCGUGUAGCGGUGAAAUGCGUAGAGAUGCGGAGGAACAUCAGUGGCGAAGGCGACUUCCUGGACCAACACUGACGCUGAGGUGCGAAAGCGUGGGGAGCAAACAGG
This 429-nucleotide ribosomal RNA is filed under the name uncultured bacterium. Its description in RNAcentral is "bacterial SSU rRNA". It matches the Rfam family "Bacterial small subunit ribosomal RNA", at positions 355 to 776 of the family's 1533-position model. The record is from RNAcentral.